CCUCCCGCUGGAGUGGCCCAGCAGCUCAAGUGUGUUGUUUCUCUGGGGAGCAGUUGAACAGAAUCUCUAUCUGUAUGAGAUAAACAUGUUGGAGAACUCAGGGCAACAGGUUGCAUCUGAGGGUUCUGUCCCAUGGGUGCCUCAGUUGUACGUCAGGCAAAACCCGUUCACAGCCCUGUCAGCUGCAACAGCCUUGGCAUGGCAUAAGCCAUAGGAAACCAGAGGUGAUCCCAGUGCCUGCACAGGUAAUAGACUGCCCUGAGGGAGAGCUUAAGAAAAUCCUAUUCCAAUCCUCCUUGCCUUGCCUGCAUUGGGAAAUAAGACUUAAAGAGGUAAAUAGCCAGACAAGUAACCCAGAUUUGUUGCAACACUUGUUGAAUAUAUCUUGAGGUUUAGCAGUUUAAAGUCUAUAUUUAAGAGGAUAAUAUGUGGUAAUAUCCAAAAAUUGAACUUUUUUCGUAACUUCUUAUUUUUCUCUUUCACCACCUACCUUCCCACCACAUAUUGAUGGUGGAAAGCCUUCCGCACAAGCUGUCAUCAUGAGGAGCUGGAUGAGGGCAAUUAGUGAAAAUCUUGGAUUUCAGCCUCAGAAUGGACUUUUGCAAAUUGGUGAGAGAUAGAAAAUAUGAAUGCUAAAACUAUUUUAUUUGCUUCAAUUGUGUCUUGCUGACAGAAAAGGAUAGUUUUUGAAAUUUCAGAAGUUGAGUUUCAUAAACAGAAACUUAAACUAGAAGACAUAGGUUAUAGAAUUUACCUCAUAGAACGCUGAAAUAACACAGAAUGAUGUGUGAUUUCUUUCCCCAAAAUGUAAGAGUUUGAGGACAGUGGGCAGACUUCAAGAAUGGGAGAAUUAAUGGAAGAUAGUGGAGGUCAACUAUGGCCCAAUAACCUGCUCUUUGACUUACAUUAGGUACAGUUGUGGAUGACAGUGACUGUUGGGGGUUGGUGAUAUAAACUCAGAAAGGAGCCCAAAUGUCUUUCUUAUGAAGAAUCACAGAGGAGAAAGUAUCACUCCCUGGCUCCAUGGGUUGAGCCUGCACCACUGCAAGUUUCAAGGAAAAGUAGUUCAUCAAGAAUGAUCUUUUAGUUCUGCAAUCAUCAAAUGUUUAUUGAAGUUCCUGUGCAAAUAGACCUGAGGUUAUGUGACUUAGUCACAGUCAAACUAAAAUAACCCAGCAGAUGCCAUGUGGUUGGGUUUGAGAACACAAAUCAUGCAGUGACAUGCGAACCUGAAGUCCCAGUAGAGUCUACAUCAACUGGGGAGCAGUGGCAAUGAUGACCAAUAUAUCCAUGAUUUAGACGUGUAUUAUGAAUGGUCUGCGCAGAAUUUAUCAACAACAAAAACUCCAUGAAUCCUCUGUAUGGGGAGUUUCUGUCUUUCUAGACCAGCACCCAUAGACUGCACGUGUCAUCAAACCACAGCCAAUGUUCCAUGGAGAACACUAUCUAUCUGUGAGUUGAGGCUGCAUUGUGCAACCAAAGAGGCACAGCCAGAUUCUCCUUUCACAGAUGAGUUUCUCUGCCUGUGCCAAAGCAGAACUUGGGUCCAAAUGCCAACCUGGCAAAUAUGGCAGGGGAACAAAAAGUCAGGCCAUGAUGCGGCAUGUUAAAAUACUGAAGACAAAGGAUCCGGUGGGAAUAUUUUGAUGACCCAGACUCCACUCUCUCUGCCCGUCACCAAUGGAGAGCCGGCCUCCAUCUCCUGCAGGUCUAGUCAGAACCUUUUACAUGGUAAUGGAUACACCUAUUUGUAUUAGUUCCUGCAGAAGCCAGGCCACUCUCCACAGCUCCUGAUCUGUAGGACUUCCAAUCAGUUUUCUGCCUUCCCACACAGGUUCUUCCCAAUGGGAGAAGAGAGUAGACCAGUCAUCCCCAGAUAUAUCACAGGACUAGUUUCAACCUUUGGAAGCUGGUCUAUAUCCUACGGUUAAAUAGACAUUUGUGAUACGACCUGAAAUACAUUUGGACAAGAACUUCACUAACAGUUGAGUCACUGAAGACUUAUGGCCCUGUGUGAUGCACCACAUAACCGUGAGUUUGCAGUGGUUGCAGGUCAGGGACAGAUUUCAUGCUUAAGAUCAGUAGGGUGGAGGCUGAGGAUCUUGGCUAUUACAACUGCCACCACACUCUACAAUAUCCUCCCACAAUGGUUCAGCACCAAACAAAAGCCUCCUGCUUGGAUUGUCCCAGCUGCCCAAAUUAGUUCCUUCACUGAGGAGUAGACAGGGUAUAUUCUCUAAAUCUAUGUAAGAGGAAGAUGUUGGUGAACUCAGGGAGUUAGUAUGAAGCUACACCUCAGGCAUCACACAUAAGAUCACUUCAGCAGCCACAGCCUUAGCAUGGGCAGAACCUACAGAAGAUGCAAGUGCCCUCUGAGCCAGGAGACAGGAGGAAGGAGGAAGGGAAAGGUGACUUAGCUCAUCUCAAUCCUCUCUCUUUUGCAUACAUUUGUCAAUCAGAUGUAUUCAGCCUACCAGUCACACAACUGAGGCUGAUACAUGACAACAUAGCACUGGUACAUUCUUGGUAUUGUUUGGCUUAGCAGUUACUAGUAUAUAUUUAAUGGGAGAAUAUUUGGUGGUGUUAACACAUUGCUUAUCUCCCUUUCCCCAGUUGUACUUUACACUUGUUCUUGGCACACAUUCUCCUCCAGGACUGGAGCAUUCACAGGGUUUUAUGUUACUGUUCUUAUGGGAGUAAAAAGAAAAACGAUUCACAUUCUUGCGACUGAACUAGGCUGGGAUGCCCUGGGCCAAGUUGAAAAUGUGAAAAAUAAGAGUAUGAAUAUUUAUUAAGUUUUAUCUGGAUCUAAGAUACUUAUCCAUGAACCAGUCCUGCAGCUGUGCCCAGCCUGCUCCAUUCCCUGAUGAUUUGCUUGUUCCCAGAGCACAACCCCCUGUUCUGAAGACUUCUUAAUAGGCUGGUCACACCCUGUGCAGGCAUCAGUCCCAGUCAGGACACAGCAUGGACAUGAGGGUUCCUGCUCAGCUCCUGGGGCUCCUGGUGCUCUGGCUCCCAGGAAGUCCAUAUGCGAAGAUGCUGAUGCUAUCAGUUGUUGCAGCACCUCACCAGGGACAUGGAUGAAGCUGGAAGCCAUCAUUCUCAGCAAACUAACACAAGAACGCAGAACCAAACACCACAUGUUCUCACUCAUAAGUGGGAGUUGAUCAGUGAGAACAAAUGGACACAGGGAGGAGAAUGUUAUACCCCAGGGCCUGUUGGGGGGUGGGGGACUAGGGGAACAGUAGCAUUGGGAGAAAUACCUAAUGUAGAUGACAAGUUGAUGUGUGUGUAGCAAACCACCAUGGCAUGUGUACACCUAUGUAACAAACCUGCACGUUCUGCCCAUGUAUCCCAGAACUUAAAGUAUAAUAAAACAUUUUUUUAUAAAAAGGGUUUUAUUGUUCAUGUUAAUUGAUCACCAUUAAUAGGAUAUGUUGACAUUUUGUAAUUCUUGCUGUGCACUGAGGUUGCACCCCAUUUUUUUGUUUUUUUUUGCUAAAAAUAAAAGAUAUGAAUCUAAUCAGUAGAAGACUUCAAACAAGUGCAACUUAAGGGAUUCUCCAAAAUAACUUGCCAGUACACUUCAAAGGUUUCAAAAUCAUGAAAGACAAAACUAAAAAACUGUCACAAUUUGGGAAAUAUUAAGGACACAAUAAUUAAAUGCAGUAUGGGAUUUUGGAUUUUUUUCUGGAACAUGAAGGAGA
This is a long non-coding RNA of Gorilla gorilla gorilla (western lowland gorilla), 3707 nucleotides long. RefSeq lists it as uncharacterized. The transcript is spliced from 5 exons. Lineage: Eukaryota; Metazoa; Chordata; Mammalia; Primates; Hominidae. The record is from RefSeq and is a predicted model, not a curated record.